Molecule: ribosomal RNA, 549 nt
Filed under: Pleosporales sp. UAMH 10669
Lineage: Eukaryota; Fungi; Ascomycota; Dothideomycetes; Pleosporales
Description: eukaryotic LSU rRNA
Rfam family: Eukaryotic large subunit ribosomal RNA
Source: RNAcentral
UUAAGCAUAUCAAUAAGCGGAGGAAAAGAAACCAACAGGGAUUGCCUCAGUAACGGCGAGUGAAGCGGCAACAGCUCAAAUUUGAAAUCUGGCCCUUUCGGGGUCCGAGUUGUAAUUUGCAGAGGGUGCUUUGGCGUUGGCCGUGGUCUAAGUUCCUUGGAACAGGACGUCACAGAGGGUGAGAAUCCCGUACGUGGCCGCCGGUCUUCGCCGUGUAAAGCCCCUUCGACGAGUCGAGUUGUUUGGGAAUGCAGCUCUAAAUGGGAGAUAAAUUUCUUCUAAAGCUAAAUAUUGGCCAGAGACCGAUAGCGCACAAGUAGAGUGAUCGAAAGAUGAAAAGCACUUUGGAAAGAGAGUCAAAAAGCACGUGAAAUUGUUGAAAGGGAAGCGCUUGCAGCCAGACGUGCCCGCAGUUGCUCACCUAGGCUUUUGCCUGGGGCAUUCUUCUGCGGGCAGGCCAGCAUCAGUUCGGACGGUUGGAUAAAGGCCUCUGUCACGUAUCUUCCUUCGGGAUGACCUUAUAGGGGAGGCGCAACACGACCAGUCUGA